Molecule: long non-coding RNA, 2060 nt
Organism: Triticum dicoccoides
Lineage: Eukaryota; Viridiplantae; Streptophyta; Magnoliopsida; Poales; Poaceae
Exons: 10
Source: RefSeq, a predicted model, not a curated record
CUGAAAAGUAAAAGCAAUCUAUCUACUUCAUCCGGGCGCUGCCUAACCCCAGAAGCUCGUGGCUAUGGCGAUGGGAACCGCUGGAGACAUGGAAUCGAGUUCUUGUCUGAUCCCGUCGACAGAUUUCCCCUCCCGGAUCUCGCCGGGGAAGAGCCGUUUGCAGCGGACGAGGCAAACAAAGAUCUUAUAUGUGCACCUCCUGAGUCCAGCAUUGGCGGUGCCGGAGACGCCGCACUAACCGUACACCUAGAUCUGAAGAGCACUUGUGAUGGGAAUGCCAUCUCAGUUCCAAGCUCCGAGCAAUCUACAGGCAAAGACAAACCUGAAGCCCCUGCCUGGACAAACAGAAUCCGUGUGGGGCGCGCACCUAAUGAACGCCCCCCAUGUGCUGCCAGAAUGAGUGCCUUGGAAAUGACAUUGCGAAGAUAUGCAGAAAAGAAAACUGACACAGUCAUAGUUCCUGUAGUGGGUAGCAACUUUGAUUCACUUGGAGAAGCUUAUGACUACUACAAUCUCUACUCCUGGGAUAUUGGAUUUGGAGUAUGAUAUGGAAAGAGCAGGCUAAAUGUCGAAAGAACAAAAUGCAUGCAGGACAUAGUUUGUGGCUGCUCAGGGAUCCCGAAGAAGAGUAACAUACGAACAUGUCGAUGCAGAUGCCCCGCAAUGAUACGGUUGCUCCGAUCGAACGACAAUGGCUGGUAUAUAAACGAAUACAGACCGGGUAACAAUCAUGCACUCACUGAUAUGCUCUGGGAGAAAAAAUACCUUCAUAAUCUGGUAGAAUUUUAUUUCCAACCAAUACUUGUGAUUUGUGUAUCUGGCUCGCAACCUGUCCAUGUUCCGAAAUUGCCAAGAUGGGCCAACAAUAACAAUUGAUUCAAACUAAAAAUGUUGACUGACUACACAGUUGCCGGAGAGAUGAAUGUUUCUACUAGCACAAGGUUGCUACCAAAAUCAAGGUGCCGCUAUGGUCGGAGCUGCUUCAAUUCAUGCAGUGACGCCCACCGAAGGUGGCGCACAGCCAAACAUUUGUACUAACGGACCUCCGCCAGCAAAUGAACAUGCCACUGCUGUUGUAGCCGUUUCUAUUCACAGAAAACCCAAACGGAGGUGCUGCUGCUACAAGCACGCUGCUUUCUCCGUACACAUGCAUACCAAGAACUGAAGAGGCUGCUGCUGCAGCUGCGUGUGCUAUUGUUGCAGAAGCAACCGCGGGUGCUGGUCCUAGCACGUGGCAGAACAAGCAAAACAUGUGUAAACCAUCAGCACCAAAGACAGAGCCAGACAUUGUGAUCGCAAGAUUUGUGAAGAUACUGAUAGAUGAACCUUCUCCUUCGCAUGUAGACAGCUGCUACAACAGGAUGAUAAACUCCAGCCCAACUGAACUUGACAGGAAAUGGUUUUCAAUAAGCGAGCCUUAUCACCUGGAAAUGACCGGACAUGCUGUCACAAAGAACUAUGGACCAGGGCAAUCACUGAAAAACAACGGCAUGUCAGCUGCUCUUCUGAGCCUCGAUGCAAAGGAUGGCAUGAUAUACUGAAACAGAACUCCUCGCUGGAGGAAAAUAAUAGACCCCUAUUUUGCGGAUGAAUUCACAUACGAGCCCGAGCAUCCUAACAUAGACCGAUUCUUCUGCAUGUUCAAUGCAAGCAAACUCCCCUACAACCUGGAAGAAUGCAAAAAGGUUUUGGAUCCCAAGUGGACAUUUUUUCUUGAGGGGCACCGGAAUUUGCGGUUACCAUGGUAACGCGAAAUACCGGAAAAAAUUCGGAAGGAAUUUGAAAUUAAAUUUUGAAUUCAAUUUUUUUUCAGGUCAAUAUAGAUAGGUGUUUAACUUCAAAAGAUAUCACCUACUUGCUCCUGGCGUAGUGGCUGUUUAAGCCGAACUGCACCUUGCUAAAAGGUCGCGAGUUCGACACCUGUCAUUCCAAGUAUUUUGAAACAAGGGAAUAGCUAAAUAUUUGUGUACUUUGCACUAAUAUUGAUUGGCCCUUGCGCCAUGUAAUCGACUAGUAUGCUACCAUGUAAUCAACUGCUAUGUUAUCGUCUGAAUGACUUU